CUGCCUUUGCCCGCCUGUACCAGGUCCGGUCGCCUCUUCCUUUGCGCAAUUCCUCGAGCAGGUCAUAUAUGUGGCGUAUGUGUGUUGUUUAAUGGAUGGUGAGCUUAUUUUCUGGUGGUUGGGGUCCAGGAUUUGCUCCUGUGGUUCAAGUUGAAUACCGGGGAGAUGGAGAUGGUGACAUGGCUGGCUUCUGUGGUGGUGAGGUUCAAGUUCUACAACGAGGUCAUGGUUGUUUGCAUGUCUGUUUAGGUCUAUUUUUUGUGUGUAUGGUUGAAAAACAAAGCCAUGCCUAUUAGUCUGGAAAAUAAAGUCAAGCUUAUGUGUUAAAAAUAGUUUGAUUAACUGGCAAGUGGCCAUUUUGCAAUGGUGAGAUGAGCUAGCUAGCUUGUGUUGAUGCAUGUAUGUUUGGUCAAGGCUAGCUAGCUGCAGCAGUUUGACUAGUACAUAAGAGAAGAGACACUAUGUCAGCAUGUGCAAUCAGAAUCGGGAUGUAUACUUCACACUAUUGUAUAACUUAACUAGCAGUCCUCCAUUCAUGUAGAUGUAGUACGUACAUUCCUUGUUCUUUUUCCAAGUUUUUUCAUCUCGCUUUUGCUUUUCUUUUCAGUAUUUUGUAUUUCUGUAUCAUUUAGCUCCUGUUCCUAAGGCUGAUGCAUCCACUGACAUGUCAACAUCAUGUCAUGUGUGUUCUUUCUCCAAGAUGUAGUGCAGGGGUUCUUAUUUGAUGUUCUUAUAUACGCUAUGUUAUCAUGCAGGUGGCCGUUGGGCCUAUCUGAAGAGCAACAAUGUAACGCUUUUGAGCUUAGGUACAAGAAGUCGUAUUUGAAAGGGGACGAGAUGAUGUUCAUCAAAAUGAAACUGAAAAGGUUGGUCUAUCAUCUCUUAGUUAUACAUCACAUUUAGUUAUGCGCCAAUUUAUUUCUAGACAACAUGAGCAUGGAGAAACAUAUAUGUGAAAGGUUGGUCUAUCUGAAGAGCAACAAUGUAACGCUUUUGAGCCAGCGUACAAUGGCUUUCAAGACGCAUGCUACAGAUAACUUGCUUCGAGUCCUGCUCUUUUUAUUUGAGGUGUUUUCUUAGCUUACCACGUUGCCUAGGUGGUACUAUUGUAGUAUAUAUAAUGUAUGCACCUGCUUGUGCCCUAUUUUCCUAGAUGUGGCUCAUAACUUAGAAAUCUAUCUUUUGGCUGUUUUCUUUACACUAAAUCCAUCUUAAUUAAGGUGCCAGGGGAAAAAAAUUUUUGAAUCCAUAUAGGCAAAUAUGUUACUAUAAUCAAUUACAAUAAAAUCAUUUGCACAGAGAAAAUUUCAACAUUAGACAAUAUGAUUUGGCAUGUUUGACCCUCUGUCAGGCAUCCUCCUUUCUAGCUUUUGUUUUUCCCUGUAAUGGCUUUGCCUCUUUUGGUCCUGAACUUUUGAGACCAUGACGCUUUUGAGAAUGUAUGGAAAGCUUGGUUUCAUUAUAGCAAUGGAACCAGGGUCUAAAAAAGUGGACAUUGUUGAGAAGAAUUGGAAGUACAUACAGAAAUACUGGUAGCUUUAACCAUGGAGAAUGAUUUUGACCUCUCAUACAAAACAUAAGAAGUGGCUUAAUUUAAUUAGGUAUGUGUAGCAUAAUCUAAACUAUUGUUGGUGGAGAUUUAGUGUGAGCUGCUGCUAUUUAAUUUGUUUUGAAUGAACAAACAAAUUAUAUAUUUCUUUAAAUGGCAUUCUUAACCAGUUUACUGUAUGCCCAAACUGCCCAGUAGUGGUUUGCUAGUCUACUACUGCAAAAUAUAAACGUUGGUAUAUACUUCAGUGGGGUUGUAGAUGUCCAUUGUACUUGGUUAAUAUAUAUUUUUGUAAUCGCAACAAGCCAAUGAACCGAUUAUCGACGCUGCAUUGUAUCUUUCAGAUAAGGAUUUUUUUACCUGUAUCACCUGUCCAUCUUGGUGUAACCAUAGCACAUGCGGGUUCUAGAGAUAUGAUUAAUAAAAUUAAUUAGAAAAAUGUCAUGUUCUUUGAAUUAUAUGAAUGUUACAAGUAAUUCGAAAAGCAUGAUGUAUUCUGAACCGUUGCAAACUUAUUAUGAAAUUGAAAUCAGUGUGGUUUAUUGGUAGAUUAUUCCUUUAGUACACAGAGCAAUGUGUAGUCCUCAAUCUUUAUUAUUUGGAGUAUGUGUUCCUGGUGAUUCAUGUUACCCUGAAAAUUGCUUGUGAAGGAUCAAAAGGUUAAUACGUAGUGAUACUGUUAGAUAGCAGCUAACCAGUCAAUUAGAACAUCUAAGUUUUGUCAUUGUAUGCUCAAUUAAAUUUCAACUAGAUUACACAAUUUUCAUCUCCCUUACAACUACUCUAAUCAUUUCUUAGGAGUGGGAAACAAUACCGGAGGAAUCGUGAUCUAUGGCAAGGGUGAUGAUGUCUAUGGUGAUGAUUGUCAUGAUCUAUAUGGCAAUGGGCGUUAUGAUCCAUAUGGUGAUGAAGAUGAGUCUGAUCUUUCUUCAGGAUAUGCAACAAAGUGAACUUAUGAAGUUUUGGUCAAUUUUAGCUUAUGCGCAUAAUGCUUGGACCAUUAUAUCUUAGUUACUAUUUUUGUUUAGCAUUUCAAACUUCCUAGAUAGAUCAUUAUAAUCGAUGUAAUUUGGAUCCGCUAAAUAUACUAUAUGUUACUUGGUCAUGUGUGGUUGUGCAAUUAUAAGAUAGUAUAUUUGAAGUGGAAAACAAUCCUUUCGGGGUGACU
This 2717-nucleotide long non-coding RNA is filed under the name Triticum aestivum (bread wheat). RNAcentral describes it as "long non-coding RNA (TAES_LNC013614)". The record is from RNAcentral. Lineage: Eukaryota; Viridiplantae; Streptophyta; Magnoliopsida; Poales; Poaceae.